UGCUGCGGACCUCCGACGUGGGAGUCUCAUGCCAGAGCCCCGCUUCCAGACGGACUCCAACUAACGGACAGCAGCCAAGUUUUCAGUUACAAUAUACCAACUGUAACUUACAUUAUCUUUGGCCCGUCGCAGUACGGGGACCAGCGGGCAGGCUUCUUCCUCAGGCCCAGGCGCAGCAUUGUGAUGAAGUCCCAGGGUGAGGAACUGACUGAAUAAGAUGGAAAUGCGGCGCAACUCCACCUUCAUGCUUCAAGGCAACACUACAUACAGUCGGAGCCAGGGCUCAGUGCAUGCUACUUUUACCUGCCUGUCUACAGCCAUUUAAAGUUACAGUACCCAUAUUUAAAAAUUACUAAAGAGCAGCAGCAAGUGCCACGUGGAAGUUCCUGCAUUGGUUCAAGCAGGUGAACCAGAGUGCAGAAUGUGCUCCUCCAGGUUUAGGAAACCGGCUGUCAUUCUAACAACCAGUUCCCACGAACGGGGCAGAAUGGGCUGAAUCCCACUCCUGGCUGCUCCCUCUUUACAGUGCCGGCAGCUGAGCCUAAUGCAAGUGCCUCAGUGGCCUCAUGGAAGCUACGGCCCUGUUUGCAGCGUCCCUUUAAAAAAGAUAACCUGCCGCAACUUAUCAUGUGAAUGGCUCCCAGGUAAUAGACCAUAGAAAUGGAUGUGGCCUUAUUUUAGAGAGCUGGAUGAAGAUAUUCCCUUUCUGUGGGUGAUGAAUGUGCAAUAGUCUGUGAAAGAGAAUCACCAAAUGAGUAAAACCAUCAGCUUCUCUGCCUCUGGCGACGGCUGAGCAUUAACAUUACAUUACACAAUGAGUUAUAGCAGUUAACUUCACCUGCUGCCAAAUUAAAAAUGUAGUCCAAAUGUAUCUUGUCUGUCCUUGGUCUAUUUACAGUCCUCAUACUGUCCAAGAAGUAAGUUUUUAUGUAUUAUAAUGAUCUUCCACAUCCUGAAAUGCAACCGAGGGUAGAAGUUCAACAUCAUCUGAGCCGAUGCCAUAUGCAGUGUCAAUGGGAUUUCUGCUAUGUUUCUUCUGAUUUUAUCUUAUCACAUUUAUCGGAUCACUUACUAAGGCACAAAAGUUUUUUUUAGA
Hyla sarda is the source of this 1096-nucleotide long non-coding RNA. RefSeq lists it as uncharacterized. The record is from RefSeq and is a predicted model, not a curated record. The transcript is spliced from 3 exons. NCBI's taxonomy places the organism in Eukaryota, Metazoa, Chordata, Amphibia, Anura, Hylidae.